GCCUAUCAGGAGUCCUCCAUUAGCAUAAAUGUACUUGGGGGCCUAUCAGGAGUCCUCCAUUAGCAUAAAUGUACUUGGGGGCCUACCAGGAGUCCUCCAUUAGCAUAAAUGUACUUGGGGGCCUAUCAGGAGUCCUCCAUUAGCAUAAAUGUACUUGGGGGCCUAUCAGGAGUCCUCCAUUAGCAUAAAUGUACUUGGGGGCCUAUCAGGAGUCCUCCAUUAGCAUAAACACAGGUGUGGUUGCAGGGGGCUUAUUAAGAGUUGCAGAAGACACUCCUUCUACCCCUGUCACUCAGGAAAUUCCAAGGGUUUUAGGGGCUCUGGUACCAGGAGCUGGGGAUAAAGAUUAAACAUAUAUUUCUUAUUAUAUCACAAGAUCACAGGAAGACACAUGCAUUACAUCACACUCUGACACACACAGGGUCAUACACAAUCAUACCUGCCCAGACACACACAGACAUGCAGAGACACCCAAACCCAUAUCCAGGGACACACAGUCGCCCUCCUAACCCCCAUGCAAGGAGGCAGGUGGGAAGCCAUCACCUGCAGCCACACUCACACAUGCACACAGGGUCCCGGGCACACGUAGCUACACACACACCCAGCCCCACACGUAGCUCCCUGUGUGAAGAGGUGCACAGAGACGCACAAGGUCACACAUGCCACCUGCUCCACACAGGCCGGCCAUUACUGGGACACACCCACAGGGGAUGGCUGGACACAUGUGCAGUCACACUCGGUGGAUAGAGCUCCAGCAUAGCCAAAGCCCACAUGUGCAGCGUCUCCAUCAUGUGCAGAUGCACACACUUCAGACAGCACGGCACUCUACAGGCUCGCACAGCCAGGUCACCCAUCAUUGUGCUGGCAGGCACACGGGCCGAGCCAGCCUACACGGCGGCACACCCAGACAUGCACACGUGGGGUCACACACCUCACAUCCAGGAGAACUUUCAGACUUGCCCAAAGGCAGCCACACGUGUAUGUGACAUGCUGUGAUAUGCAGACACCGCUUCACAUGAACGAGCACAUAACACACCGAUAAAGUGUUACAUGCCUUUACCUGCAGUCACCUGCCUGGGCUGGCACCACUGAGUGAGCAGGUGCAGACACAGUGACACUCGGGGACGGGCUCACAGGCAGUCACACACCUGCAAGGCCUGGCACCGCCGAGUGAGCAGGUACAGACACAGUGAUGGGCUGGCACCGCCAAGUGAGCAGGGGCAGACGCUGUGACACUCAGGGACGGGCUCACAGGCAGUCACACACCUGCACCUGCUGGUACCGUCGAGUGAGCAGGUGCAGACGCUGUGACACUCAGGGACAGGCUCACAGCCAGUCACACACCUGCACGGCCUGGCACCGCCAAGUGAGCAGGUACAGACACAGUGACGGGCUGGCACCGCCGAGUAAGCAGGUGCAGAUGCAGUGACAGGCUCACAGGCAGUCACACACCUGCACCUGCUGGUACCGUCGAGUGACCAGGUGCAGACGCUGUGUUACUCAGGGACGGGCUCACAGGCAGUCACACACCUAUACGGGCUGACACCGCUAAGUGAACAGGUGCAGACACAAUGGCACUCGGGGACGGGCUCACACGCGGUCACACACCUGCAGGAACACGCGCACACUACACACCGUUGCUCUCGCCUCCCGGUAUCACCUUCGAACGCGCUGGCCGGCCCCCUCCUAGCCUGGUGCAGUCGGCUCCGCUUCUACUCAGUCUCGGGUCCUCCUGGGCCAACGCAGACCCUGGUGCCUCCUUCCUUAGACGAGCUAAGGUCAAGACUUCUGCUGCUGCGGAGGAGCCCGCGCACCAGGCCGGGGUGGACUGCGCCUGCGCAUCGGGCCCGCCUGGUUCUUAGGAACUACGACUCCCAGGGGGCGCUGCGCGCUCGCCGGCACCGCGACUAAAGCUUGCAAAGCCUGGGUCAUCGAAACUACAACUCCCAGAAGGCUAAGCGUCUGCACACGCUAGGUCCGCAGGGCGCUGACCCCUGGGGGCCCGAGGAGCGCCGGGCUGCUGCCCCGAGCCCCGCCCACUACAGCCUCAGUGCAUGGCGGUGGGCGCUUCCAGUAACUCAGGGGUGGGACUUUUUUCUUGCUCAGGGGAUGAGGCCGAGCCCACAGGCUUAGAAAGAAGGAACUUGAGUCCGGGCACCUGUCAUCCCAGCGCUUAGGGAGGCCGAGGCGGGUGGAUCACCUGAGGUCAGGAGUUCGAGACCAGCCUGGCCAAUAUGGCGAAACCCCCGUCUCUACUAAAAAUACAAAAAUUAGCCGAGCAUGGUGGCAUGCACUUCCAGCUACUUGGAAGGCUGAGGCGGGAGAAUGGCUUGAACCUGGGAGGCGAGGGUUGCAGUGAGCUGAGAUCGCACCACUGCACUCCAGCCUGGGUGACAGAGCGAGACUUCGUCUCAAAAAAAAAGAAGAAGAAAGAAGGAAGCUGAGGUUCAGACAGGCUAAGUCCCUACUGCAGGCUGCGGAAUCUAAAAAGGUCAUGAACUCUGAGAGUUUGAGAUGAGCCUCUAAAAGCUGUAUCAAUAGCACCUUGCACUGUUGAAGCAGGUAAGUGUUUUCCUUGUUACUUCUUAAGUUCAGUUGGAAACCCAACAUAGCAAAUCCUCUAGAAUGCAGCUGAAGCAGUACUAAGGCUGGGUGUGGUGGCUCAUGCCUAUAAUCCUGUAGGGAGGCAAAAGCGGGAGGAUUGCUGGAGCCCAGGAGUUCAAGACCAGCCUGGGCAACACGGCAAGACCUGGUUCUCCACAAAAAGGAAAAAAAAAUGCUAAGAGGCAAGUAUAUAGCAAUAAACUCCUACAUCAAAAAAGUAGAAACAUUUCAAAUAAGAGAUUGGGGGCAGUGGCUCAUGCCUGUAAUCCUAGCACUUUUGGAGGCCGAGGUGGGUAGAUUGCUUGAGACCAGGAGUUCGAGACCAGCAUGGGCAACAUAGCGAGACCCUGUCUCUACAAAAAAUCAGAAAAUUAGCCAGGCGUGGUGGUGCAAGCCUGUAGCCCCAGCUACUCGGGAGGCUAGGGUGGGAGGAUUGAUUGAGCCUUUGAGGUAGAGGUUGCAGUGAGCUGAGAUUGUGCCAUUGCAUUCCAGCCUGGGUGACAGAGCUAGACCCUGUCUCAAAAAAAGAAAGAGAGAAAGAAAGAGAAAUAAAUAAAGAGAGAAAGAAAGAAAA
This is a long non-coding RNA of Homo sapiens (human), 3178 nucleotides long. Lineage: Eukaryota; Metazoa; Chordata; Mammalia; Primates; Hominidae. The record is from Ensembl.